GGCCGCUUGGCCCAAUGGUUAAGGCGUCUGACUACGACCGAGCACGGCGUGUCUCUAUCUCACGAUAUACACACAAAACGUUGCUUGAUACAGCUAAUCAGGAGAUUCUGGGUUCGACUCCCAGGGUGGCCU
Hypoxylon sp. FL1857 is the source of this 132-nucleotide non-coding RNA. Lineage: Eukaryota; Fungi; Ascomycota; Sordariomycetes; Xylariales; Hypoxylaceae. The record is from the annotation of a GenBank genome assembly.